Molecule: ribosomal RNA, 484 nt
Filed under: uncultured bacterium
Lineage: Bacteria
Description: partial 16S ribosomal RNA
Rfam family: Bacterial small subunit ribosomal RNA
Source: RNAcentral
AUUGAACGCUGGCGGCAGGCCUAACACAUGCAAGUCGAGCGGAUGAAGGGAGCUUGCUCCUGGAUUCAGCGGCGGACGGGUGAGUAAUGCCUAGGAAUCUGCCUGGUAGUGGGGGAUAACGUCCGGAAACGGGCGCUAAUACCGCAUACGUCCUGAGGGAGAAAGUGGGGGAUCUUCGGACCUCACGCUAUCAGGUGAGCCUAGGUGGGAUUAGCUAGUUGGUGGGGUAAGGGCCUACCAAGGCGACGUUCCGUAACUGGUCUGAGAGGAUGAUCAGUCACACUGGAACUGAGACACGGUCCAGACUCCUACGGGAGGCAGCAGUGGGGAAUAGUGGACAAAGGGCGAAAGCCUGAUCCAGCCAUGCCGCGUGUGUGAAGAAGGUCUUCGGAUUGUAAAGCACUUUAAGUUGGGAGGAAGGGCAGUAAGUUAAUACCUUGCUGUUUUGACGGUACCAACAGAAUAAGCACCGGCUAACUUCGUG